GGCGUAGGGAGCUGGGUGGAGCAGGGCGAAGUCUAGAAAGGAAGGAAGGUGGGGCCGCGGGGCAGAAGCCGUGCUCAGCAGCAGUCCCUGUCGGGACUUGUCAGUGCAGCCUGUGCCAGGGAACUGGCUGGGUCCGGGCCGGAAUGCGCUUGGGGCUGGUGGGCAGCGAGCCCGGGGGUUGCAGCAUGCUGGCCGAGGGAAGUGCCGCGAGAGAGCCGGGGGUGCACCUCGCGGCUCCGGCGGCUGUCCCCCAGGUCGUCAGCGCCCCACUUCCUGCUUUGUUCAACUAAAACGGAGGGAGCGGCCCUCCAGUCCCCCCCCCCCCCCGCAACCUGUUUCCAUGGAUUAGUGCAAGAGCAAAGAAAGCUCAAGUCCGAUUUCACCGGCGGCCAGGGAGCCAAGUGCUGGGAUGACGGCAAGGGCCCCAGUCUGUUCCGCACCGAGGACCUACUUGAUGGAAGAGUUUUGAAAAAGACUGGCGGUAGCAGGUGGUUUCAGGAUGAUGCAAGUGCGUUACACUUACUGAGUGCUUUAAUUUCUAUUAUUAUUACAUUGUAAUAUAUAAUGAGGUAAUUACACAGCUCACCACAGUGCAGUCACUGGGAGCCUUGAGCCUGCUUUCCUACCGCUAGACCGUCCCAUCUGCAGUGACACCGAAGUGUGUUGAGUAUGUCCAGCCCACACUGUAAUCUCAUUUUGGUUGCGGUCACUGCAGAAAACACUGCUUUCCAAAGACAGGACUUUGGAAGAGGAAGUGGGCUGUCCAGUGCUUUUGUGGAAAUCUGGAUAAUCUGUCCUGACAUUAAUCCAGAACAUACGGUGAUGUGAAGUUGUCUCAGAUCUUUUUAUGUCUUUGAACUCAAGCUGCUCCUCUGCCUCAGCCUCCCAAGUGCCAGGAUUACAGAUGUGUGCCACCACUCUGGACAGAAAUUUGAAGAUCCAUUGUGUGUCACUGAAAUGUGCUGAUGGUGGGGUCUUCCUGAAGGAAAUCUCCAGAAUGGCUCUCUGUGCUCAUCACUCUGGCUAGGGCCCUCCCUUAGAAAGCUUUCUCCCCUUUGUGUACAACAGAUGGCCCCUGUGCUCUGCCUGUAUCCUGUUUGCAGGGAAGCUACCACAUUAAUAGGACCCUUGCUGUUUUCUUCUUUUGGUACUGGGGAUCAAACUCAUGACCUUGUGCUUGCCAGGCAAGUACUUGUGCCAUUAAGCUAAAUCCCCAGCUCUUGGUGCUUUCUUUUAAACGAAGCUCUCUUUUUGCUGUAGCCUUAGUCUUCUGCUGUGUCAUCCCUGGGUCUUUGCCCUUUUCCAAGUAGCUCUGCUGUGAGGUCCGUGUUUUACUCACUGUGGCUAUGGUUAGCUGGUAGACUUCCUAGAACUGUGAUGGAGGGCAGAGCACAAUUGGGAAAGUGAUAGAUGCAAGUGCUCAAUUAAAUAAUGGGUGGCCCCUGUGCAGAUUAAAAGAAAUGUUGGGAUAAAAUACAUUUGGAAGAAAA
Molecule: long non-coding RNA, 1490 nt
Organism: Cavia porcellus (domestic guinea pig)
Lineage: Eukaryota; Metazoa; Chordata; Mammalia; Rodentia; Caviidae
Exons: 2
Source: RefSeq, a predicted model, not a curated record